AAUAUGCUAGUGUAUACGAAUAAAUAACUAAUUUUUUGUUAAUAUGUAUUUACUGCAAAUUUUUUUAUAGAUUGAAUACGCAUUUAGUAGAUAUUCGCAAGUAUAUCCAAAUGUUGUUGUUGUUCCCAAAGAGCAAAGGCUUCAACUACUCCGGCCUUAUCGAUGGGCUUUAUCGCAAUAAAUCUUAUCAUUAUCCAUAUUUAUAAUUCGUGAAAAUGAUGCUGGAUGCAGUGGUGGCGGCGGCGGCGGCGGCGGCGGCGCCGAGUAUAAUCAUCGCCUGCAACAAAUGCUGUUGACGAUCAUGUUCAUGUAAACGUUGACGAUCACGAUCACGAUCAUCCCACAUGUCUCCUAGUACUACUUACUCCUCCUUUCUACUAUUGUACAGUUCAUAAGCUAAGCUCGCUCUCUCACAAGAUUUAUAUACUCGUACAUAUAUACAAAUGUACUCUAGUCUCAUUAUACUAGACAUUUAACAUGCAGACAUACAUAUGUACGUACGUACGUACUUAUACAUAGAUAGUGUAUUUGUUUGUAAGCGCUAACAAAUUAUUUAAAUAGCGAAAAAAUUACGUAAACGUUGAAGCGUUGAAAUUAUAGUUGGAAGUUGAAAGUUGGCAUGUGAUGGAUUGUAUGUAUAUUUGUAGAAAAUGUUUGACGAUCUCUAUUUAGCUACUAUUUAAUGAUUAACAAAACGUGUUGUUGUUGGCCCGAAAAAGUGCAAAACAGUUAAAAAAAA
Long non-coding RNA from Rhagoletis pomonella (apple maggot), 739 nucleotides. RefSeq lists it as uncharacterized. The record is from RefSeq and is a predicted model, not a curated record. Lineage: Eukaryota; Metazoa; Arthropoda; Insecta; Diptera; Tephritidae. The transcript has 2 exons.